AGAAGGUUUUCGGAUCGUAAACUUCUAUCAGCAGGGAAGAAAAUGACAGUACCUGACUAAGAAGCCCCGGCUAACUACGUGCCAGCAGCCGCGGUAAUACGUAGGGGGCAAGCGUUAUCCGGAAUUACUGGGUGUAAAGGGUGCGUAGGCGGCGAGGCAAGUCAGAUGUGAAAGCCCUAGGCUCAACUUAGGGACUGCAUUUGAAACUGCUUUGCUAGAGUGCAGGAGAGGAAAGCGGAAUUCCUAGUGUAGCGGUAAAAUGCGUAGAUAUUAGGAGGAACACCAGUGGCGAAGGCGGCUUUCUGGACUGUAACUGACGCUGAGGCACGAAAGCGUGGGGAGCGAACAGGAUUAGAUACCCUGGUAGUCCACGCUGUAAACGAUGAGUGCUAGGUGUCGGCCUGUAGAGGGUCGGUGCCGAAGUUAACACAUUAAGCACUCCACCUGGGG
Molecule: ribosomal RNA, 450 nt
Filed under: uncultured Bacillota bacterium
Lineage: Bacteria; Bacillati; Bacillota
Description: bacterial SSU rRNA
Rfam family: Bacterial small subunit ribosomal RNA
Source: RNAcentral